RNAcentral lists this ribosomal RNA (117 nucleotides) under Ruminococcus sp. The record is from RNAcentral. Lineage: Bacteria; Bacillati; Bacillota; Clostridia; Eubacteriales; Oscillospiraceae.
AUCGGUGUAUAUGGCAGUGAGGUCACACCUGUUCCCAUUCCGAACACAGAAGUUAAGCUCAUUUGCGAUGAUAAUACUUGGUUGGCGACGACCUGGGAAUGUAGUUCUAUGCCGGUA